GACGAACGCUGGCGGCGUGCUUAACACAUGCAAGUCGAACGGAAAGGCCCUGCUUUUGUGGGGUGCUCGAGUGGCGAACGGGUGAGUAACACGUGAGUAACCUGCCCUUGACUUUGGGAUAACUUCAGGAAACUGGGGCUAAUACCGGAUAAGAGCUCCUGCUGCAUGGUGGGGGUUGGAAAGUUUCGGCGGUUGGGGAUGGACUCGCGGCUUAUCAGCUUGUUGGUGGGGUAGUGGCUUACCAAGGCUUUGACGGGUAGCCGGCCUGAGAGGGUGACCGGCCACAUUGGGACUGAGAGACGGCCCAGACGCCUACGGGAGGCAGCAGGGGGGAAUAUUGCACAAUGGUCGGAAGCCUGAUGCAGCAACGCCGCGUGCGGGAUGACGGCCUUCGGGUUGUAAACCGCUUUCGCCUGUGACGAAGCUUGAGUGACGGUAAUGAGUAAAGAAGCACCGGCUAACUACGUG
RNAcentral lists this ribosomal RNA (468 nucleotides) under uncultured bacterium. RNAcentral's name for it is "partial 16S ribosomal RNA". It matches the Rfam family "Bacterial small subunit ribosomal RNA", at positions 28 to 507 of the family's 1533-position model. The record is from RNAcentral.